Molecule: ribosomal RNA, 427 nt
Filed under: Phaenonotum sp. Guyana MF1061
Lineage: Eukaryota; Metazoa; Arthropoda; Insecta; Coleoptera; Hydrophilidae
Description: partial 16S ribosomal RNA
Rfam family: Bacterial large subunit ribosomal RNA (bases 281-427)
Source: RNAcentral
AGAAACUUGUAUGAAUGGUUGGAUGAGAAAGUUACUUUGUUUAUUUUAUUUAUAAUGAAUUUUAUUUUUAAGUUAAAAGGCUUAGAUUUUUUUAUAAGACGAGAAGACCCUAUAGAGUUUAAUAAUAUAGCUAUAAACAUUAUUAAGAAUAUUUUAUUUUAUAGGCUUUAUUAUUUGGUUGGGGUGACUUUAAAAUUUAAUUAACUUUUAAUUUUAUAAGUACUUUAAUUUAUGGUUGAUUGAUCCAAUUAUUUUGAUUAAAAGAAUAAAUUACCUUAGGGAUAACAGCGUAAUUUUCUUGGUGAGUUCAUAUCUAUAGGAAAGAUUGCGACCUCGAUGUUGGAUUAAAAUUAACUGUUGGCGCAGUAGUUGAUGGGUUGGGUCUGUUCGACCUUUAAAAUUUUACAUGAUCUGAGUUCAAACCGGA